CUUGUGGGUAUUAAGAUAUUUCGGAAGCUCACUCUUCAGGACACUAAAUAUCAACACUACAUAUCCUUUUGAAAAAGUUGGAAGACUUCAUGAUCCUAAGACCUAUCAAUAUGAUCUUAUAAUGCUGAUUGUGGAAGGAGGUCUAAAGUGAAAUCCCUUGAGAAUCUGCAGUUGGCCCUUCCAUUAUUUAACAUUUUUGUGAAUGACUUAAAUAAAGGAACUAAAGACUUGCAUAUCCCAUUUGCAGAAGACAAAGCUGGGAAGGAUAGCUGAGCUCUCUUGCAGUUUGCUUUGAAGAGGAGAGGUUGAAUUCAGAAAUGGAAAUAGUAGAGGUAGGGGGAAGGUGGCAAAGACUGAAAAUUGAGCAAGAAAAUUAGGAACAUUCAAAUCCUGUCUUAGUUCAAAAAGUGAAAAUGAGUUUUUCUUUCUCAUCAAUUUUUCAUUUGUGCUUUGGUAAAAUCACACCCACAGAUCCACCACAGCCCACUUGG
Phascolarctos cinereus (koala) is the source of this 491-nucleotide long non-coding RNA. RefSeq lists it as uncharacterized. Lineage: Eukaryota; Metazoa; Chordata; Mammalia; Diprotodontia; Phascolarctidae. The record is from RefSeq and is a predicted model, not a curated record.